This 433-nucleotide ribosomal RNA is filed under the name uncultured bacterium. RNAcentral describes it as "partial 16S ribosomal RNA". It matches the Rfam family "Bacterial small subunit ribosomal RNA", at positions 29 to 506 of the family's 1533-position model. The record is from RNAcentral.
AGCGAACGCUGGCGGCAGGCCUAACACAUGCAAGUCGAACGAACCUUUCGGGGUUAGUGGCGGACGGGUGAGUAACACGUGGGAACGUGCCUUUAGGUUCGGAAUAACUCAGGGAAACUUGUGCUAAUACCGAAUGUGCCCUUCGGGGGAAAGAUUUAUCGCCUUUAGAGCGGCCCGCGUCUGAUUAGCUAGUUGGUUGAGGUAAUGGCUCACCAAGGCGACGGUCAGUAGCUGGUCUGAGAGGAUGAUCAGCCACAUUGGGACUGGGGCACGGCCCAAACUCCUGCGGGGGGCAGCAGUGGGGAAUUUGGCGAAAUGGGCGAAAGCCUGACGCAGCCUGGCCGGGGGAAUGAUGAAGGUUUUAGGAUGGUAAAAUUCUUUCACCGGGGACGAUAAUGGCGGUACCCGGAGAAGAAGCCCCGGCUAACUUCGU